UUCUGUGGGUGUGUCUGUCCUUACAGGUGUCACAUCAGGCCUGCUGCACUUGCCCCUGCUUGCCCAGGGACUUCCCUUCUAACAACGAGAUCUGACAGCAUCUCUAAGUUGAAGAAUGCUGCCUGACACAGGGCCUUGGAAAGACCCCACGCUAUCAGAGGCCCGAUGCCCAAGGUCCAUUAACUUCUCUGUGGAAUCAUCCCUGGGAGCCGGGGUGCGCUCCCGAUGCUGGUCCUCCACAGUCCCUCUCUAAGAUGGUGAGGGUCUGCCCCGAGCUUGGCCUUGGUGCUGAGACCCUACACACAGACUGCAGGUCCCUGAGCACUCCCAGAUAGUCAAGCAUCAGGGUCCCCAGCCCUGCCUCUGGCCAUCCCCCCACCUGCAGCCCAUGCACACGAGGUGAAGAAGCAGCAAGAGGCACACAGAGGGCCACCUUCUCACACCAGGAUCCUUCAGCGGCUCAAGAACCCAAAGUCACCCCAGACCCCAGGCCUGGCCAUCUUUCCCUUUCCCUCAGCUGAGUUCUGAUCAGCUUGCUCCUUUCCAAGUACCAUUACCUGCCACUUAUGGGCUGCAAAAAGAAAUAUAUGGCAGUUCAUAGAUUUUCAGACAUAAUAAAACACGCUUGUCAAGGCCA
RNAcentral lists this long non-coding RNA (637 nucleotides) under Homo sapiens (human). RNAcentral describes it as "novel transcript". The record is from RNAcentral. Lineage: Eukaryota; Metazoa; Chordata; Mammalia; Primates; Hominidae.